UGUCUGAAGUGACUGAAACACAUAUGGCUUCAGUGUGUCAAGAAGACCUGAAAGAUCCCACAUGGAAGUGAAAUUCAUUAUUGGCAAGCACGGUGACAGGAGACCCCAGAGGGCUGAGCCACAAAGAAUUUGCAGAGCCGCAAGGCUAACUCUACGGCCUAGUUUGAUCUUGAAGUUAUUGUCUUGGAUAAUCCUCUCCAAUCUGUUCCUGCACUUAAGAGCCACUCAGCACAUGAUGGAGCGCCCUCUCAGGUUCCUUUACAUCGCCCUGUCAGGGAUGACGUGAUGUCAGGGAACACAGACAUCAUGUCAAAUCAUCCAACAGAUGUCCCCUUCAAAUAAGUUGGAGCAGAACCAACUAUAUGGAGAAGUCAUAAACAAGGAAACAGACAACCCAGUGAUUUUCAGCGCAUUGGCACUGCUCUUUGCACGGAAACCUCAGUCUCCAGGGUGGAAGAACACAAGUUCAACAGAGUGUGUGUGCACUAUGCGGGCUGACUCUUGCCCUGCUCAGGCUCAUGCUACUGACAGGGGACACUUUGGAAUCCAAAUCCUGCAUCAUCUCAACGAAAUGUUGUGCAACGUCACGGCUCUAAGAAGUAACCAAUUUUAAUCACUGGCAUCAAGGAGUCAGGACAGAGAAACCCAGUA
Long non-coding RNA from Callithrix jacchus (white-tufted-ear marmoset), 651 nucleotides. RefSeq lists it as uncharacterized. Lineage: Eukaryota; Metazoa; Chordata; Mammalia; Primates; Cebidae. The record is from RefSeq and is a predicted model, not a curated record.